Syngnathus typhle (broad-nosed pipefish) is the source of this 3085-nucleotide long non-coding RNA. RefSeq lists it as uncharacterized. The transcript has 3 exons. The record is from RefSeq and is a predicted model, not a curated record. Lineage: Eukaryota; Metazoa; Chordata; Actinopteri; Syngnathiformes; Syngnathidae.
CCAUUAACCCUUGGUGCCAGUGAUCUCCCAGCACACCGGGAUUAACAGCACUUAAAUGGGCCUGUUAGUACGCCGCCUCGUCUUUGCCUCCCACACCAACUAGCGCAUGUGGAGCUGCCCACAGCUUUACACUCGCCUCGCACACUGGCUCUGUUGUUUUUGUUCUCCAUCCAUACCCCCCCAGGCGAGCCACCCUAAACCUCCUCCAAUAAAUGAUGUUGAAGUAUUCUUAGUAGAGGUUUAUCUGAGAACAUUCUCUAUUUUGUUUUGACCUGUCGGAAUCCAAGGCAAGUGAAGAAUAGAGAUGAACGGGGGUUGGCUUGGGGGGCAAAUUUGAUUGCUUUUGCUCUUUGCGUGAUGAUCACAUGCCCCUUGUGACGCUUAACAAACAGACCACCGCAGAGCGAAAGAUGUCCAUCUCAAAAAUCAAUAAAUAACCGAGUUCCAUCCGAGUUAGCUCACUGUGAGAUAAAAGGAUGGUGAGACCUUGUGGGAGGAGGGUAGUGGGGACAGUCCUUGUAUGGGCACAUAAUGAAUAACGUUGGCAUCCGUUGUUCACCAUCCAUCAAAAGGACACAAUGCAAAAUUAGAGAAACUUCAAGAAAAAGACAAAAGAAGUUGGAGGGGAAAAACAAAGUUGACUUAGGAGAGCUAUAAAUAAUAGAGAUGCACGAUAAUGUUUUUUUUUGGUCCACUGAUAUGAUAACCGAUACCCUCCUGCUUCUCCAAACUGAUAUCACUGACCAAUAUUUUUGUUUUAAAACUACACACUAUAGUUGUAUCGAUAAUAUAUAUAGUUUUGGGGAUAUUUCAUACGCUCAUUUACUUGGCACAGAUGACAUGAGCAAAGACAUAAAACUCAAACACUGCAGGUAGAAUAAUUUUAAAAUCAUGUCACGGUACCAAAAAUGUUAAGAGUGAGGGUGAUUUUUUUCCCCCACACAAUCUCCUGGGGUAGUAGCUCUUGUUCUUCCUGUGUCGAAGCUGUGACAUAAACGGCAGGCACUAAUUCAUAUUCUUAGCAUAUGGUGCAUCAUACGGGGGACAUGGGAAUGCCACCUGACAUUGACAAGGAUAUAAAGCAACACACCAUCAUUGCCCUUUAACGUCUGCCUACUCUAUCUUAAAACAGAUGGGUGCAUAAACCUGACAGCAUUGACUUAUUGUCUUGUGUACCAGUGCAGCAUAAGGAAGGAAAUAAAGUGAAACAGAUUCAGUGAGUAAUUGUAUGUGUUGGUUUUCAUCGUUGUGUUGCUUCAGUUAUGUUGUGUUCAAAGGUAGUCACAAAGAAUGUGUGCUGUUAAAUGGAUGUCACCUCUGUCUAUCUAUCUAGCAAAGUUUGUUUGUUUGUAUGUGUACAAAAAAGAAAAACCCUUCAAACAAAAAUAUAGUUCCAAACCAUGACUCUGGAAUGACUGCCUACCUCUUUUAUCUAAUGGGGCCAUGGGUGGAUGGGAGAACAAUGAGGAUAUAUCAAAAACAUCCCUACCUUCGUCUCCUCCUGUGCCUCCAUGCAGAUCUCAUUGUCUCCUGGAAACAAGCAGAGAGGUAGAAAUAGCAACAAUGUAAACCAUUCAGUCGAAAACAAAAAGUGGCUUCUUUGUCAACACAUCAAAGAAGAAAGCCAACUCUGAGGUAGCCAGUCUGUCAAUCAAGCAAAUGAUCACAGGGGAACCACCAGCCAUCAUUGUUAAGAGAAGACUCAGAAGAAGAGAAGAAAAAAUAUAGCACCGGUAGGUCAACUAGAUUCAAAGUGACAAGACACCAACACCACUAUGUGAUUAGUCACUUUUAUCAGACUGUUUUGUAGCUUUGUUGUGAUUAACCUUUAACUUUUGCGUCAUUGGGGGGGGAAAGAAAUCAUAAAAAUGAGACAAAAAGCUCAUUGUACCUUUGUUAACUGUCAUCAAGUAUUAAGAAAGUAUUAAUAUUACAACGGUAUGAAAGAGUGUUACUUAAAACAUUGCCUGGACUUUAUUACAGGUUUUAUGAUGGUGACGGUUGGAGACUUUUUUUUAGUUCUAUUAUUUCCUGUAGAAAAUAAUUGUUAUGAAAUCUAAACAAACACGUUUGACCUUUGAAGCUGUACACUCACGUCCUAGGAUUGGAGUCUUCAGAUGCCGUGUCCUCCGCCCUAUUGGCUCAAAAUAUCAAGUAAACUUUUCAGGAUUUAAGGGCACACCAUUAGUGAAGGGAAAGCAUCACGCCAAGCCAACACUUGACCCCACAUUAAAGACCUCUGGCUAACUUGGGUCCAGCGAUCAUUCCUAUCAGAUGGUCCUCCGUGCGCGACUGCAUGCCAGACAUGAAAUGCCCUCUCAGGCCAUCAGAGGGAAAUGGAGUGAGAGGACACGCAGGAGACAAGCACACAGAGAUAAUAAGACUAAGACAUCUCGCAGACACGGCAAGGUUUUAUUUGAAUUCAAAAGUUUGUCAUGUUAACAGCCACGUGUGCUUUUGCACUCACACACAAAGUCAGCCCAAUCAAAAAGCAGGCUUCAUGCACACGCACACUAAUAGCUCGAAUGCCCCCCUACUGUCUCCGGGCUCUACGUUUAAACAGAGAUCCUCAAUCAGCGGCUCACACAGCACGGAUAAAUUAGUAACGCUCUGUGACAACGUUAAGCAGGCCUAUCCCUUUAGAUGGACGUGGAUAUAAAAAGCCUGAUUUCGCAUGACAGCUAUCCCCCCGUGACAUUUUGUCUGUUUUAGCCCUGAUUGAACUAUUAAUCACUCUAAUGUGAGAGAUGGCAAGCUGUUUAUGAAUUCCUCUAUUCUGCAUGGGCCGCAUGCCCGAGUCAUUACAGUGGAGCACACAAAGGCGCACCAUAGAGUGUGAGCGCAACAGAAUAACCUGUGCGGAACAAACAGAAUUUGGAUGCAACAGCUUCAGGACACAAACUAGUUUUGGCAAAAAAAAAAAAAAAAAAAGUGUUGACACAAAGUGUAAAUAUCCUGUUCUUGCCACUUCAAUGUUGUUAGUCACCUGAAUAUUGUUAGUCACUUGAUUGUUGUAGAGAGACCGAGAUCAACCAGAGUCAUAUUCCUUGUUUGGCAUGCACAAACUUGGCAAAUAAAGCUGAUU